AUUAAUAACAUAUUAGAUGUGAU
This 23-nucleotide small nuclear RNA is filed under the name Arabidopsis thaliana (thale cress). Its description in RNAcentral is "snRNA_01869". The record is from RNAcentral. Lineage: Eukaryota; Viridiplantae; Streptophyta; Magnoliopsida; Brassicales; Brassicaceae.